UGUUGUCAUGGCAACAGAAUAGAUCAGUAAAAAAAAAACAGACUUGUACACUAAAAUCAUGUUACCAAGCGUAUUGUAUGUCUCUUCUGUUGUACAAUAUUUCCAGUAUUACUGCUUAAAAAAAAAAUAUCUAUUUAUUAUUUUAAUAUUAUUAUAUUUGUUUAUUAUUUUUUAUUAUUUUUAACUUGAGUUUGUCAUGACAUAGUUUGAAUGAUGUCUGGAUUUGUGCUAUACAGAUACUGUAGAUCUGUAGGUCAUGUUUAUUUCCACCGCUGAGCUCUCAUUUAGUUCAGAAACGAGAAGAACCAGCGUCAGUUACACUGAAUGAUCAGCAAAGAAAAAUAGAAGAUCAAAGAGGUUUGCUGGAGGAGCUGGCCCGCAUAGAACAGGACCUGAAGGAAACCAUUUGGAGAGAGGAGAAGAGACAGCAGGAGCUAGACCAAGUAAGAAGAGAAGAGAAUCGGAUCCGCUGGAGAAGUCUGUUGUUCCUCAGCCUCAACCAGCGUACAGCGAAGCCCUGGGUGACAAGCUACUAUAAGAACAUAGCGAUGCACAUCUAUUGCCUUCCAAUAGAGACUGUUGUCCGAAAUCAGAACAAGAAGAAGAAGAAGACAAGAAGAUGAGGAAAUUAUGCCGUUACAGCAAACAGUUACAAUCUGAAAGAAAAUCAGAGCAUCAUGUAAUCAAACAGACGGUGAACACUGUUAACUGCAAUGAUUAUAUGUUGCGA
Molecule: long non-coding RNA, 730 nt
Organism: Onychostoma macrolepis
Lineage: Eukaryota; Metazoa; Chordata; Actinopteri; Cypriniformes; Cyprinidae
Exons: 3
Source: RefSeq, a predicted model, not a curated record